This is a non-coding RNA of Cucurbita pepo subsp. pepo (vegetable marrow), 310 nucleotides long. The record is from RefSeq and is a predicted model, not a curated record. Lineage: Eukaryota; Viridiplantae; Streptophyta; Magnoliopsida; Cucurbitales; Cucurbitaceae.
UCUCUAUCAGCCUUUUAUCUUUCGUUCCAGCAAACACUUUCUCUCACUGAAACCCUACUUUCUCCCCCCACAGACGCCGGCGGCGACCCCAGUUUAGCUUCUUCGAGCUUCACUUCGACAAUAUGGCAAGGGGAUUGAAGAAGCAUUUGAAGAGGCUUAACGCCCCAAAGCAUUGGAUGCUUGACAAACUUGGUGGUGCAUUUGCUCCCAAACCUUCAUCUGGACCUCAUAAGUCGAGGGAAUGCCUUCCGUUGAUCCUUAUUUUGAGGAACCGAUUGAAAUAUGCUCUCACAUACCGUGAGGUAAUUUC